UCUACCCUUGGUCAGGUUGAAGUUCAGGUAACACUGAAUGGAGGACCGAACCGACUUACGUUGAAAAGUGAGCGGAUGAACUGAGGGUAGCGGAGAAAUUCCAAUCGAACCUGGAGAUAGCUGGUUCUCUCCGAAAUAGCUUUAGGGCUAGCCUCAAGUGAUGAUUAUUGGAGGUAGAGCACUGUUUGGACGAGGGGCCCCUCUCGGGUUACCGAAUUCAGACAAACUCCGAAUGCCAAUUAAUUUAACUUGGGAGUCAGAACAUGGGUGAUAAGGUCCGUGUUCGAAAGGGAAACAGCCCAGACCACCAGCUAAGGUCCCAAAAUAUAUGUUAAGUGGAAAAGGAUGUGGCGUUGCCCAGACAACUAGGAUGUUGGCUUAGAAGCAGCCAUCAUUUAAAGAGUGCGUAAUAGCUCACUAGUCGAGUGACACUGCGCCGAAAAUGUACCGGGGCUAAACAUAUUACCGAAGCUGUGGAUUGUCCUUUGGACAAUGGUAGGAGAGCGUUCUAAGGGCGUUGAAGCAUGAUCGUAAGGACAUGUGGAGCGCUUAGAAGUGAGAAUGCCGGUGUGAGUAGCGAAAGACGGGUGAGAAUCCCGUCCACCGAUUGACUAAGGUUUCCAGAGGAAGGCUCGUCCGCUCUGGGUUAGUCGGGUCCUAAGCUGAGGCCGACAGGCGUAGGCGAUGGAUAACAGGUUGAUAUUCCUGUACCACCUAUAAUCGUUUUAAUCGAUGGGGGGACGCAGUAGGAUAGGCGAAGCGUGCGAUUGGAUUGCACGUCUAAGCAGUAAGGCUGAGUAUUAGGCAAAUCCGGUACUCGUUAAGGCUGAGCUGUGAUGGGGAGAAGACAUUGUGUCUUCGAGUCGUUGAUUUCACACUGCCGAGAAAAGCCUCUAGAUAGAAAAUAGGUGCCCGUACCGCAAACCGACACAGGUAGUCAAGAUGAGAAUUCUAAGGUGAGCGAGCGAACUCUCGUUAAGGAACUCGGCAAAAUGACCCCGUAACUUCGGGAGAAGGGGUGCUCUUUAGGGUUAACGCCCAGAAGAGCCGCAGUGAAUAGGCCCAAGCGACUGUUUAUCAAAAACACAGGUCUCUGCUAAACCGUAAGGUGAUGUAUAGGGGCUGACGCCUGCCCGGUGCUGGAAGGUUAAGAGGAGUGGUUAGCUUCUGCGAAGCUACGAAUCGAAGCCCCAGUAAACGGCGGCCGUAACUAUAACGGUCCUAAGGUAGCGAAAUUCCUUGUCGGGUAAGUUCCGACCCGCACGAAAGGCGUAACGAUUUGGGCACUGUCUCAACGAGAGACUCGGUGAAAUCAUAGUACCUGUGAAGAUGCAGGUUACCCGCGACAGGACGGAAAGACCCCGUGGAGCUUUACUGUAGCCUGAUAUUGAAAUUCGGCACAGCUUGUACAGGAUAGGUAGGAGCCUUUGAAACGUGAGCGCUAGCUUACGUGGAGGCGCUGGUGGG
RNAcentral lists this ribosomal RNA (1467 nucleotides) under Staphylococcus aureus. Its description in RNAcentral is "partial 23S ribosomal RNA". It matches the Rfam family "Bacterial large subunit ribosomal RNA", at positions 729 to 2196 of the family's 2925-position model. The record is from RNAcentral. Lineage: Bacteria; Bacillati; Bacillota; Bacilli; Caryophanales; Staphylococcaceae.